RNAcentral lists this ribosomal RNA (519 nucleotides) under uncultured eukaryote. RNAcentral's name for it is "bacterial SSU rRNA". It matches the Rfam family "Eukaryotic small subunit ribosomal RNA", at positions 1161 to 1636 of the family's 1831-position model. The record is from RNAcentral.
AGGGCACCACCAGGAGUGGAGGCUGCGGCUUAAUUUGACUCAGCUCCGGUAAACUCACCCGGACCUGACACUGCAAGGCUUGACAGAGUGAUAGCUCUUUCUUGAUUCGGUGGGAGGUGUUGCAUGGCCGUUCUUAGUUGGUGGAGUGAUUUGUAUGGUUAAUUCCGAUAACAAACGCUACUCUAGUCUGCUUACUAUGUUUAUUUGCUGCUAUCAACUAUGUUAUGUGUGACCCGCAAAACGUUGCGGAUUAGCAGACGCACGAGACAUCACACAUUAGACUUCUUAGAGAGACUAGCGGUGUCUUUGCCAAACUAAUGAGAGUAAUAACGGGUCUGUGAUGUGCUUACAUGUCCGGGGACACCCGCGCGCUACACUGAAGAGUGAAGCGUGCUUCUAGUUACUCCUGCGCCCAAAGGCGUGAGCUGGCCCGUUGCAUCCCCUUUCGUGAUGGUGAUAGCGGCUUGACAUUGCUGCCCACUGAACGAGCAUGUCCCAAUAUGCGCGAUUCAUCCAGAU